RNAcentral lists this long non-coding RNA (128 nucleotides) under Mustela putorius furo (domestic ferret). RNAcentral's name for it is "lncRNA (ENSMPUG00000027692.1)". Lineage: Eukaryota; Metazoa; Chordata; Mammalia; Carnivora; Mustelidae. The record is from RNAcentral.
ACUGUCUUCCAAAGAAGCUGUGCCUUUGCGUUCCCACCAGCCGUGUAUGAGAGCUUCUAUUGCUCCACAUCUUCACUGGGAUUUUGGCAUUCUGGACGUUGGGAAUCCUAAUAGAGAGAGAGCACAAG